This 254-nucleotide ribosomal RNA is filed under the name uncultured bacterium. RNAcentral's name for it is "partial 16S ribosomal RNA". It matches the Rfam family "Bacterial small subunit ribosomal RNA", at positions 524 to 776 of the family's 1533-position model. The record is from RNAcentral.
UACGGGGGGAGCAAGCGUUGUUCGGAUUUACUGGGCGUAAAGGGCGCGUAGGCGGCCACCGCAAGUCGACUGUGAAAUCUCCGGGCUUAACUCGGAAAGGUCAGCCGAUGCUGCGGGGCUAGAGUGCAGAAGGGGCAACUGGAAUUCUUGGUGUAGCGGUGAAAUGCGUAGAUAUCAAGAGGAACACCUGCGGCGAAGGCGGGUUGCUGGGCCGACACUGACGCUGAUGCGCGAAAGCCAGGGGGGCGAACGGG